Molecule: transfer RNA, 88 nt
Filed under: Christensenellaceae bacterium
Lineage: Bacteria; Bacillati; Bacillota; Clostridia; Christensenellales; Christensenellaceae
Description: tRNA-Ser
Rfam family: tRNA
About the family: Transfer RNA (tRNA) molecules are approximately 80 nucleotides in length. Their secondary structure includes four short double-helical elements and three loops (D, anti-codon, and T loops). Further hydrogen bonds mediate the characteristic L-shaped molecular structure. tRNAs have two regions of fundamental functional importance: the anti-codon, which is responsible for specific mRNA codon recognition, and the 3' end, to which the tRNAs corresponding amino acid is attached (by aminoacyl-tRNA synthetases). tRNAs cope with the degeneracy of the genetic code in two manners: having more than one tRNA (with a specific anti-codon) for a particular amino acid; and 'wobble' base-pairing, i.e. permitting non-standard base-pairing at the 3rd anti-codon position.
Source: RNAcentral
GGAAAGGUGGUCGAGUGGUCUAAGGCACCGGUCUUGAAAACCGACGAGGCGCAAGUCUCCGUGAGUUCGAAUCUCACCCUUUCCGCCA